AGAGUUUGAUCCUGGCUCAGGAUGAACGCUGGCGGCGUGCUUAACACAUGCAAGUCGAGCGAAGCGCUUUGGAAAGAUUCUUCGGAUGAUUUCCUUUGUGACUGAGCGGCGGACGGGUGAGUAACGCGUGGGUAACCUGCCUCAUACAGGGGGAUAACAGUUAGAAAUGACUGCUAAUACCGCAUAAGACCACGGUACCGCAUGGUACAGUGGUAAAAACUCCGGUGGUAUGAGAUGGACCCGCGU
Molecule: ribosomal RNA, 246 nt
Filed under: uncultured bacterium
Lineage: Bacteria
Description: partial 16S ribosomal RNA
Rfam family: Bacterial small subunit ribosomal RNA
Source: RNAcentral